Molecule: ribosomal RNA, 253 nt
Filed under: uncultured bacterium
Lineage: Bacteria
Description: partial 16S ribosomal RNA
Rfam family: Bacterial small subunit ribosomal RNA
Source: RNAcentral
UACAGAGGGUGCAAGCGUUAAUCGGAGUUACUGGGCGUAAAGGGCACGUAGGCGGUUAAAUAAGUUAGUUGUGAAAUCCCUGGGCUUAACCUGGGAGCUGCAAUUAAGACUGUAGAACUAGAGUCGAAGAGAGGGAAGCGGAAUUUCCGGUGUAGCGGUGAAAUGCGUAGAUAUCGGAAGGAACACCAGUGGCGAAGGCGGCUUCCUGGCUUCAGACUGACGCUGAGGUGCGAAAGCGUGGGUAGCGAACAGG